GGGCCUUGGCACGACGAUAUACAUGCAAGUCGAACGCUUCUUUCCUCCCGAGUGCUUGCACUCAAUUGGAAAGAGGAGUGGCGGACGGGUGAGUAACACGUGGGUAACCUACCCAUCAGAGGGGGAUAACACUUGGAAACAGGUGCUAAUACCGCAUAACAGUUUAUGCCGCAUGGCAUAAGAGUGAAAGGCGCUUUCGGGUGUCGCUGAUGGAUGGACCCGCGGUGCAUUAGCUAGUUGGUGAGGUAACGGCUCACCAAGGCCACGAUGCAUAGCCGACCUGAGAGGGUGAUCGGCCACACUGGGACUGAGACACGGCCCAGACUCCUACGGGAGGCAGCAGUAGGAUCCUGGACAUGACGAGUCUGACCGAGCAACGCCGGCUGGAGGGAAGAAGGUUUCGGAUCGUAAACUCGUGUUAGAGAAGAACAGAACGUUAGUAACUGACGUCCCUGACGGUAUUCUAACCAGAAAGUCAACGGCUACUACGUGCAGCAGCGCGGUAUACGUAGGUGGCAAGCGUUGUCCGGGAUUUAUUGGGCGUAAAGCGAGCGCAGGCGGUUUCUUAAGUCUGAUGUGAAAGCCCCCGGCUCAACCCGGGGAGGGUCAUUGGAAACUGGGAGACUUGAGUGCAGAAGAGGAGAGUGGAAUUUCCAUGUGUAGCGGUGAAAUGCGUAGAUAUAUGGAGGAACACCAGUGGCGAAGGCGGCUCUCUGGUCUGUAACUGACGCUGAGGCUCGAAAGCGUGGGGAGCAAACAGGAUUAGAUACCCUGGUAGUCCACGCCGUAAACGAUGAGUGCUAAGUGUUGGAGGGUUCCGCCCUUCAGUGCUGCAGCAAACGCAUUAAGCACUCCGCCUGGGGAGUACGACCGCAAGGUUGAAACUCAAAGGAAUUGACGGGGGCCCGCACAAGCGGUGGAGCAUGUGGUUUAAUUCGAAGCAACGCGAAGAACCUUACCAGGUCUUGACAUCCUUUGACCACUCUAGAGAUAGAGCUUUCCCUUCGGGGACAAAGUGACAGGUGGUGCAUGGUUGUCGUCAGCUCGUGUCGUGAGAUGUUGGGUUAAGUCCCGCAACGAGCGCAACCCUUAUUGUUAGUUGCCAUCAUUUAGUUGGGCACUCUAGCGAGACUGCCGGUGACAAACCGGAGGAAGGUGGGGAUGACGUCAAAUCAUCAUGCCCCUUAUGACCUGGGCUACACACGUGCUACAAUGGGAAGUACAACGAGUCGCUAGACCGCGAGGUCAUGCAAAUCUCUUAAAGCUUCUCUCAGUUCGGAUUGCAGGCUGCAACUCGCCUGCAUGAAGCCGGAAUCGCUAGUAAUCGCGGAUCAGCACGCCGCGGUGAAUACGUUCCCGGGCCUUGUACACACCGCCCGUCACACCACGAGAGUUUGUAACACCCGAAGUCGGUGAGGUAACCUUUUUGGAGCCAGCCGCCUAAGGUGGGAUAGAUGAUUGGGGGAAGUCGAAUACAAGAAAUUGGGCG
RNAcentral lists this ribosomal RNA (1489 nucleotides) under Enterococcus faecalis. Its description in RNAcentral is "bacterial SSU rRNA". It matches the Rfam family "Bacterial small subunit ribosomal RNA". The record is from RNAcentral. Lineage: Bacteria; Bacillati; Bacillota; Bacilli; Lactobacillales; Enterococcaceae.